This 254-nucleotide ribosomal RNA is filed under the name uncultured bacterium. Its description in RNAcentral is "partial 16S ribosomal RNA". It matches the Rfam family "Bacterial small subunit ribosomal RNA", at positions 524 to 776 of the family's 1533-position model. The record is from RNAcentral.
UACGAAGGGGGCUAGCGUUGCUCGGAAUCACUGGGCGUAAAGCGCACGUAGGCGGGUCCUUAAGUCAGGGGUGAAAUCCUGGAGCUCAACUCCAGAACUGCCUUUGAUACUGGAGAGCUUGAGUCCGGGAGAGGUGAGUGGAACUCCGAGUGUAGAGGUGAAAUUCGUUAGAUAUUCGGAAGAACACCAGUGGCGAAGGCGACUUACUGGACGAUUGUUGACGCUGAGGUGCGAAAGCGUGGGGAGCAAACAGG